CACUUAGCAUAAUGUUUUCAACUUUUAUCCAUGUUAUAGCCUGUAUCAGAAUUUUGUUUCUUUUUAUGGCAUAAUAAUAUUCCAUUGCAUGGAUAUAACACAUUUUCUUUAUUCAUUUAUGUGCCAAUGAACACUUGGAUUUUUUCUACUUCUUGGCAUUGUAAAUAGUAGUGCUGCUGUGAAUGAGACAGGGUAGUAAGAAGCUAUGAAAAUUCCUGGGCAAGUGGAAUAGGGAAACUGAGAUAAGAAAAUUUAACAAGGCCAAACAAUUUGAGCAACUUACAAUUAGCUGAUGAAUCACAAGACCUUAUCCCCAGUAACCAAGGACACUUGAGAAAAUAGUUGAUACCUCUCCUCCCUAACCAGAGAUAAAUCGCUUAAAUCUCCCUAGUCUGGGAAAAUAGAGAACAGAGACCCAGUUAAUGUCAUUUGUGUCAGCUAAACCCAAGGGCAGAUGAAGUCAGGGGAAGAAAUAUCAAAAAACUCAUUAAUAGCCCAACAUAUCGAAGAUAGAAAACAGUAUAGCAGAUCAAAGAAUAUUCCCAAACUCAUCUAUGCUCUCAUUUUGACGCAUCAGCAUAUUAAAAAUGCACCUAGAAAGAUGAUGAAUUUUCUGCUGAAACUCUCCCCUAAGAUUCUUACCUGCAGAAAAAAGAUAAAAAGCUCUCAGGACAAAGACUGAGUAUAGGCUCACUCUAGAGCACACCCAUGCCCCAUCCCAGGCAUGAACUUUUUACCUCUCUCCUAAACUCUAAGGGGCUCUGUAAGACUUGCAGCCAGGGGAGCAAUGGGCCCCCACAUCUCUACCCAGCCUUAUCCCUUGGAGACCUUGUCUCCAAGGUCUCCUUUUACUCUGACUUCCCGGUAAGCUAAAAACAGCCCUGCCUAGGCUCUACUGUUGCUUCUUCUAUGCUAAGCCCUUCCUUGUUUCACUGUCCCCAGCUUUAAUAAAUGUAUCUGCACAGUCACUUGGACUCUUGCUGUGAAAUAUUUCCUACACGAAGUCACAAACCCACACACUACCAGCUGGCCCUAGGCAGACAUGCUCAGGGCCAGGCUCCUGUCCCGUAACAUGAACACAGGGCUACUACAAAGUCCUGGGGAAGGGAAAGUUCCCAAAGCAGCCUGUCAUUGUGAAGGCCAGAUUCUUCAGCAGAAGAGCUGAGGAGGAUUAAGAGUGUUGGUAGGGCUUGUGUGCUGGUAGCUUGAAGCCACAUGAAGGGGAAUUCACUAAAUUCUCACAAGUGUUUUUAUCUUCUGGUCUGAGUAUAGGUUCUUUGGCAAAUUUACCUGUGUGUCAGAAACCUGCAGGUUCUAGGAGGUAAGGAUAUGAGGACUCGGGCUCCUCUGCCAAUUCCCCUGAGAAAGAAAGUGUGCAAGAGUUAGCACCAACACUUAGAGGCCUUGGUCUGUUACCUGACUUGAACUUCUCAUUUAUAAAGUGAAAAUGAUAGCUGUUGGUGGUGUGUGUGUAUAGAUAAAUA
This is a long non-coding RNA of Phyllostomus discolor (pale spear-nosed bat), 1484 nucleotides long. RefSeq lists it as uncharacterized. The transcript is spliced from 2 exons. NCBI's taxonomy places the organism in Eukaryota, Metazoa, Chordata, Mammalia, Chiroptera, Phyllostomidae. The record is from RefSeq and is a predicted model, not a curated record.